This 967-nucleotide long non-coding RNA is filed under the name Pan troglodytes (chimpanzee). RNAcentral's name for it is "long non-coding RNA NONPTRT016172". Lineage: Eukaryota; Metazoa; Chordata; Mammalia; Primates; Hominidae. The record is from RNAcentral.
CUGUGCUGGAUCUGUGUGCUCAGUGGCCACGCGUCGGCCUCAGGAACGGGAACGAGGCGAGAGACACAGAUGUGCAGGAUCUGCGCUUGCAGCCACCUUACUUCGUGGGCUGUACCUGAGGUGACAGGCAGGGUCUUCUCUGAUGAAGUUACCCACACGAGUCACCACGGGAUGACGGUGAGCAGGUGCCACGGAAGGUAACACUGAGCGCAUGCGGUUAAAGGACAAGAGGGAAAGGGUGAGGGCAGACCAACGGUCAUUUUCACAACUCUUCUGUGUUAGAGUUCUCUAGAGGGACAGCACUGAUAGGAUAGACCUAUAUAUGAAGGGAAGUUUAUUAAGGAAUAUUGACCCACACGAUCACAAGGUGAAAUCCCACAAUAGGCUGUCUGCAAGCUAAGGAACAAGGAAGCCAGUCUGAGUCCCCAAACCUCAAAAGUAGGGAAGCCAACAAUGCAGUCUUCAGUCUGUGGCUGAAGGCCCGGGAGCACCUGGCAAACUACUGGUGUAAGCCCAAGAGUCCAAAAGCUAAAGAACUUGGAGUCCAGUGUUUGAGGGCAGGAAGCAUCCAGCUCGGAAGAAAGAUGGAGGCGGGAAGACUCAGCCAGUCAAGUCCUUCCACGUUUGUCUGCCUGCUGUUAUCCCACCUGCACUGGCAGCUGAUUAGAUGGUGCCCACCCAAUUGAGGGUGGGUCUGCCUCUCCCAGUCCACUGAAAUGAAAUGCUAAUCUCCUUUGGCAACACCCUCACAGACACACCCAGGAACAGUACUUUGUAUCCUUCAAUCCAAUCAAGUUGACACUCAGUAUUAACCAUCACACUCUGCAAGGAAGGUGUUUUAUGUCCAUUUUAUAGAAGAGAAACUGAGGCUCAGAGAAGUUGUUAUUUGUCCAAGAUUACAGAGCCAGCUUCUGGCCAACCUUGAGCGAUUCAAAAAUUGAAGCCCCUUCCACUAGGUCCCACUGAC